Callithrix jacchus (white-tufted-ear marmoset) is the source of this 54-nucleotide non-coding RNA. The record is from Rfam. Lineage: Eukaryota; Metazoa; Chordata; Mammalia; Primates; Cebidae.
AAGGUGGCUUAUGCAACAGCUAUGGAUUGGUUUAUUGCCGUAUGCUAUGCCUUU